Molecule: transfer RNA, 86 nt
Filed under: Micavibrio sp.
Lineage: Bacteria; Pseudomonadati; Bdellovibrionota; Bdellovibrionia; Bdellovibrionales; Pseudobdellovibrionaceae
Description: tRNA-Tyr
Rfam family: tRNA
About the family: Transfer RNA (tRNA) molecules are approximately 80 nucleotides in length.
Source: RNAcentral
GGAGGGAUGGCCGAGUGGUUAAAGGCAGCAGAUUGUAAAUCUGCCCGUUUCGACGUACGCUGGUUCGAAUCCAGCUCCCUCCACCA